GGUGGUGGUGGACGCGUAUAACUAUAGGUACAUAUAUGUAUAUAUGUCUAUGCGAUGGUGUCUACCAAUACCUGAAGUGGACUGCCAUUUUAAUAUUAAAUAAUACGUAUACUCGUAAGCAACUCUACGUGGCAGGAGAUCACAGAGGCAUGAGGCCAGCAAUUCAAUUCGCCUCAAUAACUUUGUAAUGGAUGGAACGUGUUGGGUGAAACAGACGUGGCGGCAGGAUGCGGAUGGUGUAAAAGUGUCAUAAAUGAAGAAGCAUAAAUUCAAUUUACUGUAGCCUUGUUCGCUGUAAUCACCUGACGUUGAAGCGAAAAUUAUUGGUAUUUAAGCGGCUAUUAAGCGAUAAGCUGCGAUCUUAUUAAUUGAAAGUUCACACGACGCAUCAACCGCUGCGCCCAACUGAACUACACAGCAGAUUCGGUUUUUCGGGUAAUCUUCUAUUGGUUGCGAUCCGCGUUUACUUUAGUGGCAUCAUCAGAGAUGCCAUGCAGUGUGCUGGAAAGAUUGCAUUGUUACUGUGAAGCAGAGUAUCGAAGAAGACGCGAAUGAGUUCAGCCGCCAAAUGCGCGCUUUUCUUGGAACUGUGCCCAACCACUUUAUGGAAGAUUUUGCGGAAGGCUGCUGGUUGGUGGGGUUAUAAAAUCCAAUAAGUGUAAGAUUUGAAGCCGUACGAUAAUCAAGCGCGUCACACGUUCCGUGAAUGGAUCUAAAAAGAGAUGGCCGCCAAUCCGGAUUUCCACAAAAAAAAUUUCAU
Ceratitis capitata (Mediterranean fruit fly) is the source of this 760-nucleotide long non-coding RNA. RefSeq lists it as uncharacterized. NCBI's taxonomy places the organism in Eukaryota, Metazoa, Arthropoda, Insecta, Diptera, Tephritidae. The transcript has 4 exons. The record is from RefSeq and is a predicted model, not a curated record.